Long non-coding RNA from Mesocricetus auratus (golden hamster), 451 nucleotides. RefSeq lists it as uncharacterized. The record is from RefSeq and is a predicted model, not a curated record. NCBI's taxonomy places the organism in Eukaryota, Metazoa, Chordata, Mammalia, Rodentia, Cricetidae. The transcript has 2 exons.
AGGCAGAGGGCGCCUGUGGCCAGGACAAGUUAAUAGGGAGGGUAUGUCUAUUUCUGGUUCUAUUGCAGGCCAAUGACCCCUUCCUAGCCUGGACACUCUAUCCCACCCAUGGAGAGCCUGACAUGGAGAGAGCUUGCUGUGGUGCCUGACGCAGGCUCUCACCCAGCCCUUUCUCAUCCUUGAAGCCCUGCAGUGUGCUAAGUUGGUUCCCAAAGACCUCUUCAGAGAAAAUGGAUGGCAGGGAAUGGAGACGUGCAGAAGCCCAUCUGAGGACAUGAAGUCAUGACUAGAGUAGAGCUGCUGUGAUAAAACAUCUUCUGAGAUCCGUGUUCCUUGACAAGAACCCAAGACUGUGUGAUGGGACCCUUCCCAGCCUCUCUGAUUUCCAUGAUACCUUUAUGGCCCUGGUUCCUCUCAUGGCUUAUAAAACCGGCAUAUCACUGUGACUUUA